AGCUUCGUCGUGGGUGUGCUGUCGAUCGGGUCGCCAAGGGGGUUGGUUGCCGGCGUUCCGGUGAGGGGCAGUGGUGGGUGUCAGAGCUCCGAUGAGGGCGGACCGAUAGCAUUGGCAGCAUGGGGGCUCGACAACAGCAUCACGAGCAGAUUAUGAGUAACCGGCGAGAGCUGCUGGAUGUCGGAGUAGAAGCGAGCUACUGGUGGCAGCGAGGAGCUUGGCUGCUGGCGUCGUUGGCGCUCGGGCAGAGGUGGUGAUAGCAAGCUAAGGCG
RNAcentral lists this long non-coding RNA (272 nucleotides) under Eucalyptus grandis. RNAcentral's name for it is "long non-coding RNA (EGRA_LNC002764)". Lineage: Eukaryota; Viridiplantae; Streptophyta; Magnoliopsida; Myrtales; Myrtaceae. The record is from RNAcentral.